This is a long non-coding RNA of Canis lupus familiaris (dog), 1314 nucleotides long. RefSeq lists it as uncharacterized. The transcript has 4 exons. The record is from RefSeq and is a predicted model, not a curated record. NCBI's taxonomy places the organism in Eukaryota, Metazoa, Chordata, Mammalia, Carnivora, Canidae.
UGCUCAAUACGAAAUCAUACAUUUUAUGGAACUAUCUUGCUGACAUGGGAAGAGAGUGCAGUAGUCACAGGUUAGCAUAAACAGGGACACAAGUAGUUGCUUUUCUGUUUAUUCAAUAAAUAUUUGUUGUGUACCCGCCAUAUGCCUGGUAGUGGUGUAGGCCCUGGGGAAUACCGUAAUCAGAAGGAGGAAGGACAAAUAUGGGUGGUACGUGCUUUGCAGAGAAUCAGAAUAGGGUAAAGUGGUUGACAAUCUUAGAUUGGCUGCAGCUGGAGGGUCUUGGUGACAAUUGAGACUGGAAUGGCAAAUAUCUGGACAAAUAUCCCAUCAAAAUGGAAGAACAAAGCUAACAUUCAGGCAAUUAGGAAGCUAUUCCACAGCGUGUGCCAAAAGGUGGCUUGGAUGCUGGGAGUGCUGGGGAACGCUGAGAAAACUCUGUUUGUAAUAUUUUGAAACUGGAGCCUAUGGGAACUUGCUAAUGAGUUGGGUGUUGAGUUUGUGAGGGAGAAAGUAUUCAAGGAUAAUUUCUAGCUGUUUUGGCUUAGGAGAUUCUGUAGGUGGUAGUGCCAUUUAUAAGAUGUGAAACUUGGGAAGAACAGUUGGGAAAAGGGAAAUCAAGAAGUAUGGUCUGGUCAUGUUCAGUUUCAAAUGCCUUGUAGACAUCCCUGAUGUCAGGGAGGCACUGGCAUAAACAGGUCAUUAUCAAUAGACUCUUAAGCCUUGGGGCUGAUUGGAUGACCUAUCAGAGAAUGUGUAGCUAAAGAAAGGGGCGGAAGGUAAAGCUCUAGGAUUCUUCCUUUAGAGGUCAAGUAGAGGAGGAAAAGGAGCCACAGAGGCAGGAGAACAUGCAACGCAGGAGCCCCACGACUAUCAGAUUCAACACUCAGGUGUAACGGAGACCAAGCUGCAGUCACUAACCUAUGGAAGACCCCUAGGCUGCACUAUAUUCCCUGGAGCUGCUGGAAUCCAGCUCCAGGAGAUGAGCUGGGGCAAACAGGAGAGAGAGAGCUGUGGCAAGUAGAUGACAACAUCCAGUGUGCUUCACUGUGAACCACAGUAAGAUCAAUGAAAGUCACACCUUGGGGUUUUUUGGAGGAAGCCCUGGUGGUUCUGUGAGGUUUGCUCUAAAAAAAUUUCCCAUGAGAAAUGGUGCAGAAAAUGGAGGCUUCUCUGACAUGAGAGCCCAGAGGUUAUUUCUCUGCUUUUUGACAUCAGUAUCUUAGAGAACUAAACCAAUCUCAUCUUUUAUCAGCACUUCUACAACCAUGAUCAUCAGCUCUGUUCUUCCAGCUUGUAUCUGAUUCAGAUGCAGCU